This is a long non-coding RNA of Leopardus geoffroyi (Geoffroy's cat), 947 nucleotides long. RefSeq lists it as uncharacterized. The record is from RefSeq and is a predicted model, not a curated record. The transcript is spliced from 2 exons. Lineage: Eukaryota; Metazoa; Chordata; Mammalia; Carnivora; Felidae.
AAAGGUGUUCUGGGGGACGUAGGGACAAGGCGUUUACAGAAAGGGUGGUGGAGGGAAAGAGGAGAGGCUCGGUGGCUCCUCCCAGGAGGUUUUCGGGAGGUGGGGGGGGGGAAGGAGAGCGGAGAUCCAGGCAGGAAGGAGAGGCCCGGCAGGGAACAGGUGGGGGAGAGCCAGGGUGUGCCUCGUGGAGUGCAAGGGGAAGAAGGCAGGUGACUCCUGGGUGCGUGGGCACCAAGGGACACAAGGCUGGAAGGGGUCGCUGCACCCUGCACCCGACCAGCUCAGCCUCUCUCCGCCUCUCUCCACAGAAGGUGCUGCCUCCGCCUCCGAGGGGAGCCCCCGCAUGCAGCCUAUGCUUUCAGCUCAGGAGGCUGGAAACUCCAGAUCAGGGUCAUCAGGGUGAGCUCCCAGAGGCCCGCUUCCUGGCCUACAGAUCGCCAGCCGUCUUCUCGAGGUGUCCUCACGUCCCUCUGUGUGUUCUCACGGACAGAGAACUCUCUGGGGUCUGUUCUCAUAAGGGCACAAGGGCAAUCAUGGGAACCCACUCUCGUGACCUCAUCAAACCCUAAUGUGCUUGCUAGCACCGUGACAGUGGGGGCAAGUUUCCAUGAAUGAAUUCUGGGGAGACACAGUUCAGUCCACAGCAAAUGCCCAAAGCCACCCGGAAGGACCGUGCCCCUCCCCUACCCAGGUGCAAGUCGUGCUGUCGCAACUGUUCCCCAGGGCUUGUGUGUCCCCAUCCACGUGCUGAGGGAGCCAGAGGGGCGUCUCAGGGGCAGCCAGACGAUGUGCGUGCUGGCCCCACGGAAGGGCCACUAGGGUCUCCUGGUCCCUCCUCUGCCAGCCAUCCCCCCGGGGAGUGCUGGAGGAGUGCCCCCUUCCUGCUGUGGGAAGGCAGGUCGAAGCAGGGUGUCCCUCCCCAGGACCAGCCCCACCCCACGGGAAGC